UUGUGUUGAAAUCCACUAAAACUAAAACAGAGGGAGUAAUGUAUUUUUCUGAAUUUUGUCUGACAGUAAAUAUAUAGGACUCACGUAUUUUUAUUUCAACUGAAUUUUCCGGUUCGUAAAUUUACGUUAAGCUAAACCGAAAGUUAUUGGUAAAGAAAAUUUACAAACCGACAAUUCCGAUCAGAACCGUAAACGGAACAGCUUGACCACGUUUGAAAGGAGUGUUCCCACGUUUGAUUUUUGUUUUCUCUAAAGUUUGUGUCUUUGAUUUUGUUGUGAUUAUCAAUCGUGUUUCUGAUUCUUCCUCCCCUCCCCACCAGUUUAUUAGCACUGGACAAUCGUCAUGGAAUCGAAAUGAUUGAGCUUGAUGACGCUACGCUGCCUCCAAAUUAGAUUUUUGUUUCCGACAUUUGUAUUGUAAUGUUUUUCAUUUCCGCUUGGGUCUAAAUCUGAUGUGUCUCCAGGAGAUUCCAUGAUAUUGUCAGUGUUCGCGAGAGUGUUGGGGUAUUGUGGUACGGAUGCAGGAAAGUGCUAAGGACACUUCUCACAGAUUCUAAACGAACGAGUAUGUCAAAUUAGGUAUCUGAUGAUGAGGAUGAUUCUUUUCAAAAACUGCCCUCUUCCCCAAUCUUCAGAUUCCUCAAGAUUAGGCGCUUUGUCUUUUGUUCUGUGUUUGGGGGCUUAAUUCCAUUUCCCAAGUAGAUUCAGUGAUGUACCAAUAUCUAGGUAAGAAUAAGCUAUCUUGUCAGUUAUAUAAGUAGUACAUGGACCUUUAUGCCAAAGAAUAAGCCAUCUUGUCGGUUGUUUUUCUCGUCACCAACUCGACCAACUCUUUUUCCGGACGUUGCAUGUCCAGGAAAUGAAUUUCUCUUAUUGCUCUGAGACCA
Long non-coding RNA from Brassica napus (rape), 887 nucleotides. RefSeq lists it as uncharacterized. Lineage: Eukaryota; Viridiplantae; Streptophyta; Magnoliopsida; Brassicales; Brassicaceae. The record is from RefSeq and is a predicted model, not a curated record. The transcript has 3 exons.